RNAcentral lists this ribosomal RNA (868 nucleotides) under uncultured archaeon. RNAcentral's name for it is "bacterial SSU rRNA". It matches the Rfam family "Archaeal small subunit ribosomal RNA", at positions 5 to 877 of the family's 1478-position model. The record is from RNAcentral.
CGGUUGAUCCUGCCGGAGAUCACUGCUAUCGGGAUUCGAUUAAGCCAUGUGAGUCGAGAGGGUUCGGCCCUCGGCAUACUGCUCAGUAACACGUGGACAACCUACCCUCGGGUGGGGGAUAAUCUCGGGAAACUGAGGAUAAUACCCCAUAGAUAUCCGAUGCUGGAAUGCGUGGAUGUUAAAAGCUCCGGCGCCCGAGGAUGGGUCUGCGGCCUAUCAGGUUGUAGUGAGUGUAGCGAACUCACUAGCCUACGACGGGUACGGGCCUUGAGAGAGGUAACCCGGAGAUGGACUCUGAGACACGAGUCCAGGCCCUACGGGGCGCAGCAGGCGCGAAAACUUCGCAAUGUGGGAAACCGCGACGAGGGAAUCCCGAGUGCCUAUACAUUUGUAUAGGCUGUUUAUGUGCCUAAAAAGCACGUAGAGUAAGAGCUGGGUAAGACCGGUGCCAGCCGCCGCGGUAAUACCGGCAGCUCGAGUGGUGGUCGUUUUUAUUGGGCCUAAAGCGUCCGUAGCCGGUUGAGUAAAUCCCUGGGUAAAUCGACGGGCUCAACGCUGUCGACUUCCGGGGACACUGCUCGACUUGGGACCGGGAGAGGUUGGAGGUACUCCAGGGGUAGGGGUGAAAUCCUGUAAUCCCUGGGGGACCACCUGUGGCGAAGGCGUCCAACUAGAACGGCUCCGACGGUAAGGGACGAAGCCCUGGGGCGCAAACCGGAUUAGAUACCCGGGUAGUCCAGGGUGUAAACGCUGCAGACUUGGUGUUGGAGAUCCCACGAGGGUGUCCAGUGCCGGAGAGAAGUUGUUAAGUUUGCCGCCUGGGAAGUAUGGCCGCAAGGCUGAAACUUAAAGGAAUUGGCGGGGGAGC